UACGGAGGGGGCUAGCGUUGUUCGGAAUUACUGGGCGUAAAGCGCGCGUAGGCGGGCUGUUAAGUCGGGGGUGAAAUCCCGGGGCUCAACCCCGGAACUGCCUUCGAUACUGGCAGCCUAGAGGAAGGCAGAGGCUAGUGGAAUGGCGAGUGUAGAGGUGAAAUUCGUAGAUAUUCGCCGGAACACCAGUGGCGAAGGCGACUGGCUGGGCCUUUUCUGACGCUGAGGUGCGAAAGCGUGGGGAGCAAACAGG
This 253-nucleotide ribosomal RNA is filed under the name uncultured bacterium. RNAcentral's name for it is "partial 16S ribosomal RNA". It matches the Rfam family "Bacterial small subunit ribosomal RNA", at positions 524 to 776 of the family's 1533-position model. The record is from RNAcentral.